This 70-nucleotide transfer RNA is filed under the name Enterobacter cloacae. RNAcentral's name for it is "tRNA-Lys". It matches the Rfam family "tRNA". From Rfam's summary of the family: Transfer RNA (tRNA) molecules are approximately 80 nucleotides in length. The record is from RNAcentral. RNAcentral also lists the same sequence under 18 other names. Lineage: Bacteria; Pseudomonadati; Pseudomonadota; Gammaproteobacteria; Enterobacterales; Enterobacteriaceae.
GGUCGUUAGCUCAGUUGGUAGAGCAGUUGACUUUUAAUCAAUUGGUCGCAGGUUCGAAUCCUGCACGACC